AACGAACGCUGGCGGCGUGGAUAAGACAUGCAAGUCGAACGGGAUUUUUUUCUGUAGCAAUACAGGAAAAAGUCUAGUGGCGAACGGGUGCGUAACACGUGAGCAACCUGCCGUGAAGUGGGGGAUAGCUCGCCGAAAGGCGAAUUAAUACCGCAUGUGGCCAAGGAAGACAUCUUCCUGACGCCAAAGCCGGGGCAACCUGGCGCUUCUCGAGGGGCUCGCGGCCUAUCAGCGUGUUGGUGAGGUAACGGCUCACAAAGGCUAUGACGGGUAGCUGGUCUGAGAGGACGACCAGCCACACUGGAACUGAGACACGGUCCAGACACCUACGGGUGGCAGCAGUCGGGAAUUUUUCACAAUGGGGGAAACCCUGAUGGAGCGACGCCGCGUGGAGGAUGAAGUUUUUCGGAUUGUAAACUCCUGUCAUUAGAGAACAAGGCACACGGUUUAACUGGCCGUGUGUUGAUAGUAUCUGAAGAGGAAGAGACGGCUAACUCUGUGCCAGCAGCCGCCGUAA
This 517-nucleotide ribosomal RNA is filed under the name uncultured bacterium. RNAcentral describes it as "partial 16S ribosomal RNA". It matches the Rfam family "Bacterial small subunit ribosomal RNA", at positions 29 to 523 of the family's 1533-position model. The record is from RNAcentral.